ACGCUCGACACCUACGGGAGCAGCAGUCGGGAAUAUUGCGCAAUGGAGGAAACUCUGACGCAGUGACGCCGCGUAUAGGAAGAAGGUUUUCGGAUUGUAAACUAUUGUCGUUAGGGAAGAGAAAGGACAGUACCUAAGGAGGAAGCUCCGGCUAACUACGUGCCAGUAGCCGCGGUAAUCUGAGCGGGCGUGGCAAGGC
This 199-nucleotide ribosomal RNA is filed under the name uncultured bacterium. RNAcentral's name for it is "partial 16S ribosomal RNA". It matches the Rfam family "Bacterial small subunit ribosomal RNA", at positions 328 to 538 of the family's 1533-position model. The record is from RNAcentral.